This is a long non-coding RNA of Mauremys reevesii (Reeves's turtle), 1066 nucleotides long. RefSeq lists it as uncharacterized. The transcript is spliced from 7 exons. Lineage: Eukaryota; Metazoa; Chordata; Testudines; Geoemydidae. The record is from RefSeq and is a predicted model, not a curated record.
GUGGCAGUCUGAAGUAUGAAAGCUAAUGCUUCAGUGGUGCAUUGAGGCUGAGUUGAGAUCUGCAUUGAAAAGCUUGAAUGUUUAAGAUUGUGUUAGCCAUCUGAAGGAAAGAAUUCUCCAUUCAAAAGACAGCAGCAAGUUAAGAUCCUGCCCAACUCCUUCAUCAGCAGGUAGGCUCCAGCACUCCAAGGUGUUCCUCCAGGUGCAGCCUAAGGUUAAUUGGCUUAAUUUACCCCUUCAAGCCUUGCGUGGGGGUGAACACACCAUCACAGAUGUCCAAAGCCUUGGCUUGUGUUUCUCUUCUGCCUAUAACUGUUGUUUUGUUUUGUUUCUAAUGGGCUCACACAAUAAGCAAUUUCUAUUCAUCUCUCAAGGAAGAUGUACUGGACUCAGCAUUAGAUAAUAGUCUUAAAUAAAUUGAAAGAGAUGGACAGUCUCAGGAAGCAGAGUUGUGCCUAAUGAUAAUAGCUCAUCUAGACCAACUCAUUAUCUUGCCUGUUAGCAGAUACUGAAGAGGGGAAGAGACUUUAAAGUGGCCUGGCUGGAGGAGUAAGACACAGGAAAAGGCAGACCACCACAGUGCCAGAGCAACUGUCAUCAGGAAGUACCAGACAGGGAGAGAGCUGCUACUACAUGCCCAGUCACCAGAAAGUGCCAACAGUGAGUCAACCCCUUCAUAAUGGACGUAGGUCGUGGUGCAAUGAAGUUUGAGAAUUCCUGGUAUAGAGAAACCUGAUGCACAAAUGGUGGCCAGACUAUAUCAUGAAUCAGAGAGAAUACAAAUGGUAGGAGAGAUGAAGAGAUAGUCUGAGGCAAGUCAACAGAAACUUUUAUAAACAGAGAGGGCAAUUCUGAAUACACCCCGCAGCAGAGUUCUCUUGCAUUUUGACAAUCAUGUAUAAACAUUCCAACAGUCCUGAUUAUACAUAGCUCAUAGAAUGAACCAUUAUAUAUCUUCCCUGCUACUACUUUUCUUGUCUGGAACCAUAUUUCCUGCUUUCAUUUUUCCCAUAUACCACUUUAAAAAUGUGUUAUAAAACAGACAAAAGUUUAUUAUGGUAUGCUA